This 427-nucleotide ribosomal RNA is filed under the name uncultured beta proteobacterium. RNAcentral's name for it is "partial 16S ribosomal RNA". It matches the Rfam family "Bacterial small subunit ribosomal RNA", at positions 355 to 774 of the family's 1533-position model. The record is from RNAcentral. Lineage: Bacteria; Pseudomonadati; Pseudomonadota; Betaproteobacteria.
UGGGGAAUUUUGGACAAUGGGCGCAAGCCUGAUCCAGCCAUUCCGCGUGAGUGAAGAAGGCCUUCGGGUUGUAAAGCUCUUUCGUGAGGAAAGAAACGGUCCGGGAUAACACCCUGGGCUAAUGACGGUACCUCAAGAAGAAGCACCGGCUAACUACGUGCCAGCAGCCGCGGUAAUACGUAGGGUGCGAGCGUUAAUCGGAAUUACUGGGCGUAAAGCGUGCGCAGGCGGUUUGACAAGUCUGAUGUGAAAGCCCCGGGCUCAACCUGGGAACUGCGUUGGAAACUGUCAGGCUAGAGUGUAGCAGAGGGGGGUAGAAUUCCACGUGUAGCAGUGAAAUGCGUAGAGAUGUGGAGGAAUACCGAUGGCGAAGGCAGCCCCCUGGGCUAACACUGACGCUCAUGCACGAAAGCGUGGGGAGCAAACA